AACAAGUAAAGAGAUUGCAUAGCUCAAAGAGAAAAGGAUGAGAAGGAUUUACGUACAUACAAUGUAUUGUUAAUACUCUAACUAUUACUAGAGAUUGACCCGUGCACAUGCGCGGGUAUUAGUUCUUACAUUUUUAUACAUUGAUAUUUUUUAUAAUUAAUGUUAUAUAUUUUAGAUGGAUCGUAAUAUAACUAAUUGUAUUCAAAAAAACCUGGACCGAAUCUGGUAAUAUGGUUAUUUUUAGCAUCUUUAUGAACAUGAGAAACAUUACCAGAGAAAUCAUCAGCAUGUUUCUGUUGAAAAAAACCAGUCUUUUCCAUUAUUUUCAUAAUCUCAGACACCAUUGCUUCCAUCUGCAAUUUAUUAAAAGUCACAAUUGGUGCCUCCUUUCUUUUACUGAUAUCUCCAGCUGACAUCUCCAGCCAUGGUUUCCUGUUACAAUCUCAACAAGAAAAGUUAGCCCAUAUUUGAAUAGCCAAAGCCUCACAAUUUCUCAAGUGUUUCUCUUUUGUAUCUUUCAGUGAGUUUUCUCUGUGAAUCCAAUAGCUCAGCAAAAAACAAAGAUCAAACUUCAGAAAACAAACCCCAACCCCAAAACAGAAGAAAGAGAUAGACAUAUUGCAAGAUUUUUGUUUGCAACAGACAUUACCACCAGAGCUGGAUUUCUCUUCAGCCAGUUGGAUUUUUCUUUAACUUUUCUUUUUAAUUUUAAUUUUUUUAAAUCUGGUUGGCCCGCUUGCAGAUACAACAGAUAGAAGUUUUUAGGGGGGAGGAGGGUUUUGGUGGAGAAGAUGAAUGGUAUUGAGGUGAAUUUGGAAGGAGUGAAGUAUAAUCUGAGUGUGGUGCUUCCGAUGAUUUCGAGGGGUUGAAGAAAGAAUGGGAGGAGUUUUAUUAUGCUUUUGGUAAUCUCAGAGGACAUCCAAGGGAAGGAAGGAGUGAGGCUGAUACGAUGAUACCAAGAGUUUCAUCUAAGCUUUCUAUGUUGGUUUCACAUACAAUCUUCUCCACCUUUGGCAAAAUUAGAUGAGUACAGUGGAGACCUUGUAUCAGGUCUCUAUUGUAAGAUUGUUGUUCAGUUCGAGAAGUACAAUGACUUUGUGAAUGCUAUGAAGGCUUUCUGUGGUCGCUCAAUGAAAAAGGAAGGUACUCGGCUAAAAGCAGACUAUUAACUAACAUGGAACAAGGUUGGGUUCUUCUGGAACUCGAGGAGAACAUCGGAUCACAUGAUGGAUACAGAAAUGAGGCUGUUGGAUACAAUACGGAUGAUGUACGUCGAAAGACAUUCAGGGAGUAAAACACUAAGAUGAGGUCUAAGAACUUUGGAGGAGAUUCAUGACAGUGGAUUUGUAUUUUAGAUUAUCUUUUUGACGAUUUCUAAGCUCAUGAUCUGAUUUGUGUUCUUAUGCCGCCUUAUCAUCUUUUAUUUUAUGAUAAAAAUACAGCACACCGAUCUGGACCUGACUCCUCGAAUUUCUAAUUUUGGAAAUGUAUUGCCUUUGAAACAAUGAUGGAAGAGGCUUCUUUCUGUUAUAUCUAUCCAAGGUUUUGACUA
Molecule: long non-coding RNA, 1552 nt
Organism: Brassica napus (rape)
Lineage: Eukaryota; Viridiplantae; Streptophyta; Magnoliopsida; Brassicales; Brassicaceae
Exons: 5
Source: RefSeq, a predicted model, not a curated record